UUUCCGUAGGUGAACCUGCGGAAGGAUCAUUGCACACACGAUGCAGCAAACUAGCGAACUGUGUUUGUCCCCCACCUACCCCAAACACGAGGGGCCGCAUCUGGAGGUGCGGCUGUCGACGGCAAGGUCCCGACCUUCGGGUCCCCGCAGUGGUUCCCGCAAGCGGGCUGAUCAUGUCGCCGUCUGGGUGUCCCGCGCGGGCUCUCGCCUUGCCUUAGGGUUGGGCGACGCGGGCAUUCUCCUCCCUUCGAUGGCGUCGUCCCCUCCUCCGGGAGAGCGACACGCCUCGAGGGCCGUUUACAACUUUGCACCAUGUACAACACCAGUGACUGGGUAUACCUGUGUCCCGGUUCCGCUGCUGCCCUCGGGUGGUGCGGGAUUUGUCAAUAGGAACAAGAGUAAAUAAAAACAACUCUCAGCAACGGAUAUCUUGGCUCUU
This 439-nucleotide unclassified non-coding RNA is filed under the name plant metagenome. RNAcentral's name for it is "partial contains small subunit ribosomal RNA, internal transcribed spacer 1, and 5.8S ribosomal RNA". The record is from RNAcentral.